This 449-nucleotide ribosomal RNA is filed under the name uncultured bacterium. Its description in RNAcentral is "partial 16S ribosomal RNA". It matches the Rfam family "Bacterial small subunit ribosomal RNA", at positions 29 to 523 of the family's 1533-position model. The record is from RNAcentral.
AGCGAACGCUGGCGGCAGGCCUAACACAUGCAAGUCGAACGGAUCCUUCGGGAUUAGUGGCGGACGGGUGAGUAACACGUGGGAACGUGCCUUUAGGUUCGGAACAACUCAGGGAAACUUGAGCUAAUACCGGAUGUGCCCUUAGGGGGAAAGAUUUAUCGCCUUUAGAGCGGCCCGCGUCUGAUUAGCUAGUUGGUGAGGUAAAGGCUCACCAAGGCGACGAUCAGUAGCUGGUCUGAGAGGAUGACCAGCCACAUUGGGACUGAGACACGGCCCAAACUCCUACGGGAGGCAGCAGUGGGGAAUCUUGCGCAAUGGGCGAAAGCCUGACGCAGCCAUGCCGCGUGUAUGAUGAAGGUCUUAGGAUUGUAAAAUACUUUCACCGGUGAAGAUAAUGACUGUAGCCGGAGAAGAAGCCCCGGCUAACUUCGUGCCAGCCGCCGCAGUAA